GGGGGUGCACUGGAUUCGACGGGGGUCAAGAGGCUGUAGAGGCGUGCCGAGUUGUCCGCGACUCGUAAAUAUCGUGGAAACUAAAUAUAACUGCUGAAAAUC
Molecule: transfer-messenger RNA, 102 nt
Filed under: Acidobacteriota bacterium
Lineage: Bacteria; Pseudomonadati; Acidobacteriota
Description: partial transfer-messenger RNA
Rfam family: transfer-messenger RNA
About the family: Bacterial tmRNA, also known as 10Sa RNA or SsrA, is named for its dual tRNA and mRNA-like properties. Its role is to liberate the mRNA from a stalled ribosome.
Source: RNAcentral